Gallus gallus (chicken) is the source of this 2314-nucleotide long non-coding RNA. The record is from Ensembl. NCBI's taxonomy places the organism in Eukaryota, Metazoa, Chordata, Aves, Galliformes, Phasianidae.
GUAUUUCUGCUUCUGCUGUUGCGCCCGUAGCAGUGCAUGUGCAAAGGGGCAGAGGGCUGGGACUGGGGAGGGGGGCACGUGUGGCAGGAAGAAGCCGGGGUGAUCUGCAGCGGCUCCUCCGGGAAAGCCAAACAACUGAGGGAACGCGUCCGCUGCUGUGAGCCCGGGCUGUGGGUCGGGGCUCCGGGGGAGGGUUUAAACCAGAAGAGCCAUGGAAAGGUGUGUGUGUGCUCAGCACCGGGCAACUCCGACUGCACGGCGUGAUUUUCCUCUCGGUACGACGUGUUUCCGCCCCUGUGAAAUAAUUACUUUUUAACGGUAAAGAAAGGAAGAGGAAUCCGGGUUGUUUUUUGAAAGCCUGAUUGAUAUUUAGAUUGACCCAACACUGCCUGAAGAUGUUUUCAUUACCAUUUCUGUUUGACCGGGCUGAAAAGGGGUUAAAAGUAACAACGGCCUCGCAGUCAGCAGAAAGCUAUUGAAAUGUUUGAUUAUCCCCGCAGCAAAGGAGAGGAUAGCAAUGCAACAGCAACCUCUCUUGGGGUAAAGUCGAGAUUUAAUAACCGAGGACCAAAGCGAUCGUUUGAAUCGAGCAAAGGGAAAUCCCAAAUAUUUUCACGUGCGAUCUGUUUCCUUGUGUUUCUUUUGAUCGAGGUGCCUUCAGAGAAACAGCCCUCUUCCUCGGAAGGCAAUAGAAAUGUCACCGGGCAUCAUCGGCACCGACGCCUGGACAUCAUGGGGGGAGCACUGACUUAAUAUUCCACAAAAGAGCGUGGCUGAAGACUCAAUACUCUCUCGACCCUCUCCCCUCGUUCCGUCAGCUCUUCUUCUUGCUGCUGCUUCAUCAGAUCACUCUCCCAGAACUCAGCGACAGAAAGGACCCAACAGAUCGAGGGAUGUGCACACGAAGUUUCCCCUUGUCGUCGCAGCACAGCUUUUUAAGCGCCCCAGGUGCUGCGGGCUCCUCGCAAAGCCUCGCUGCGCUGUGAUGGAUCUCGGGCUCUGAUCAAAUCCUGCUGUUCCUCGCUACGCAGGAAGUCUUUCCAAAUUAGUCUAACACCAGGGCCGAGCACUGUGACUAAUAGGCAUAACUGCACAGUUCACGCUAUCUGUAGGGCAGGUUCAGCAGGGGAAACGGCGGCACCAGGAAUGUGCUGCUGCCCGGAGUCAGGCGAACUCUUCGAGACAAAGAUCAGGGGAAUUAUCGGAGAGGCGAAACAAUCUCAGCAUAAAUAAUGGUGCAGCCUUACGUUGCUCGGGAGGCAGUUCGUCACUAACGGCUCUGGAUUCACUGAAGGAAGAAGAAAGAGGGCAUACAGCAGCCCUCGGGGCAGGCAGCCACGCCUCGGGAUCCCACGGGCUGGGGCUGAGCGGAAGGGCUGUGACCCACAGCGUUAAUUGCAGUCCACGUGGAGCUGAGAGCGUUCUGUUCAGCACCGGUCAUCAGAUCUCGUCCUACUUUACCUUCAGUUGUGUCCAAUGAUUUGUGUCUGACAAAAGCACGUUUUUCAGGAAAUUAGAAAAAAAAAAAAUCAAUAACUGGAUUUGCCACUUCCCUGGGCAGAAUCUUACAAAUGAGUGCUUUCCUUUACAUGUGAAUCUGUCCAGCCUCAUCCUGCCGUUAUUUGUUCAGGCUGUGCCUUUCCUUAUCGUUUUAAAAAGAGCCUCCACACCUCACUUUACAGCUCGUGGGGUAUUUCACGUUGUAAUCCAGUCCCUUAAGAAAGGAUACGCUUCCAGAGAGCCUUGUGUGGCAGUCCGGGGUUUCAAACGUAUGGGGUGGAGGUCAGGGGCUCUCCUCCACGCUCUUCAAAAUGUCAGUGUCCCUUUGAAAAAAGUCUGAGUGUGACAAGGCAUCGUAACCCUGCCUGGACACGGAGAUGAGGGGAAGGAUGGGAGGAAGAGGGGUGAUCUGGGCAGCUGGGAGAGGGAGCCCAGGAGUCACAAUUUGGUAUUGGCUGAAGACAAAACUUUAUUUUGUCAGAUGCACGCAAUUCGCAGUUACCUUUUUGAAUAUAUAUUGCUGGGAAGCUUCCCCUUCUUCUUCUUAAUACUCAUUGACUCACUGUUGGCCUUCAAAGAGACAAUUGUAUAUGUAAAGAAGAAAAAAAAAUCUAAUAAAUCUGAUGUCUUUCUGGGAAGGGAAAAAAGAAAAAAAAAAGAAAAAGAAAAAAAAGAAAAGCCAGAAUCAUUAUUUUCUUCAGUGAAACCCAAAGGAAACCCAUUGCAGUCCCUUCUCUAUGCAUGCUGGUAGCUGCUGGGAGGUCUGUGCCCUGUAAUCCAGCCUGACCGAGUGUCCCCGGGUGCCAAAAUCCUG